GUGAGGAAUAUUGCGCAAUGGCCGAAAGCCUGACGCAGCGACGCCGCGUGGAGGAUGAAGGUCUUCGGAUUGUAAACUUCUGUUAAGUGGGAAGAAAGGGCUGCUUUUAAUAGAAGCAGUUAAUGACGGUACCAUUAAAGAAAGCACCGGCUAAACUCGUGCCAGCAGCCGCGGUAAUACGAGUGGUGCAAGCGUUAUUCGGAAUAAUUGGGCGUACAGGGUGUGUAGGCGGUAUGUUAAGUCUGUUGUUAAAGACUCCGGCCUAACCGGAGACAGGCAGCGGAAACUGGCGUACUAGAGGGUGGAAGAGAGAAGUGGAAUUCUCGGUGUAGCGGUAAAAUGCGUAGAUAUCGAGAGGAACACCGAUGGCGAAGGCAGCUUCUUGGUCCAUACCUGACGCUGAAACACGAAAGCGUGGGGAGCAAACAGGAUUAGAUACCCUGGUAGUCC
RNAcentral lists this ribosomal RNA (450 nucleotides) under uncultured bacterium. RNAcentral describes it as "partial 16S ribosomal RNA". It matches the Rfam family "Bacterial small subunit ribosomal RNA", at positions 354 to 796 of the family's 1533-position model. The record is from RNAcentral.